UGAUUAGGAAUGUCAAUGGGUAUGAAUACCCGAAAUAAUAUCCGAACCCGAAUCCGAACGGGGCGUGUUUACCAGAGCUAAACAGGUAUGGAUUCGAUUAUGAGUAUAGAAAAUAAAAAUCUGACGGAUAUGGAUACGGGUAUGGAUUUUGUACUUACCCAAUCCGAACCCGAACCCGAAUACGAAUAUUUAUAUAUGUACAUAAUUUAUUUUUAUUUAUUUAUAUAAUAUAUAAAAUAUUUAAUAAAUUUUAUUCUUUAGAUCUUUAUCCAACGAUAUGUAUUUUUAAAAUUUGUCAAGUUCAGGUCCAGGUUCGGAUUUCGAAUUUUUGGUCAGGUACGGAUAUGGGUAUGAAUUUUUAAAAUCCGUCGGAUUUGAAUCCGAGUUUGAAUUUUUAAUUUAAUUUUUGAAUUCGGAUUCGAGUUUUUAAAAAUUCGAUCUAAACCCGACCCGUUGACAUCUCUAAAUGUGAUUUAGG
Molecule: long non-coding RNA, 478 nt
Filed under: Ananas comosus (pineapple)
Lineage: Eukaryota; Viridiplantae; Streptophyta; Magnoliopsida; Poales; Bromeliaceae
Description: long non-coding RNA (ACOM_LNC039321)
Source: RNAcentral